Molecule: unclassified non-coding RNA, 358 nt
Organism: Mustela putorius furo (domestic ferret)
Lineage: Eukaryota; Metazoa; Chordata; Mammalia; Carnivora; Mustelidae
Gene: 7SK
Rfam family: 7SK RNA
About the family: 7SK was discovered as an abundant small nuclear RNA in the mid-70s but a possible function has only recently been suggested. Two independent studies have found that 7SK RNA binds the CDK9/cyclin T complex (known as elongation factor P-TEFb). P-TEFb activates transcription by phosphorylating the C-terminal domain of RNA polymerase II.
Source: Ensembl
GGAUGUGAGGGCGAUCUGGCUGUGACGUCUGUCACCCCACUAAUCACCAGGGUUGAUUCGGCUGAUCUGGUUGGCUAGGCGGGUGUCCCCUUCCUCCCUCACCCGUUCCAUGUGCGUCCAUCCCGAAGCUGCAUGCUCGGUUGAAGAGGACAACCCUCCACGAUAGAGAAGAGGAUGACCUUCCCGAUAGAGGAGAGGACUAUUCCUCGGUCAGGGGUAUACGAGUAGCUGCGCUCCCCUGCUAGAACCUCCAAACAAGCUCUCAAGGUCCAAUUGUAGGAGAACGUAGGGUAGUCAAGCUUCCAAGACUCCAGACACAUCCAAAUGAGGCACUGCAUGUGGCAGUCUGCCUUUCUUU